RNAcentral lists this ribosomal RNA (253 nucleotides) under Anaerobutyricum hallii. RNAcentral describes it as "partial 16S ribosomal RNA". It matches the Rfam family "Bacterial small subunit ribosomal RNA", at positions 524 to 776 of the family's 1533-position model. The record is from RNAcentral. Lineage: Bacteria; Bacillati; Bacillota; Clostridia; Lachnospirales; Lachnospiraceae.
UACGUAUGGAGCAAGCGUUAUCCGGAUUUACUGGGUGUAAAGGGUGCGUAGGUGGCAGUGCAAGUCAGAUGUGAAAGGCUGGGGCUCAACCCCGGAGCUGCAUUUGAAACUGCAUAGCUAGAGUACAGGAGAGGCAGGCGGAAUUCCUAGUGUAGCGGUGAAAUGCGUAGAUAUUAGGAGGAACACCAGUGGCGAAGGCGGCCUGUUGGACUGUUACUGACACUGAGGCACGAAAGCGUGGGGAGCAAACAGG